ACCCAAAUUCUCAGCGGGUGAUGAGAUG
RNAcentral lists this non-coding RNA (28 nucleotides) under Rattus norvegicus (Norway rat). Lineage: Eukaryota; Metazoa; Chordata; Mammalia; Rodentia; Muridae. The record is from RNAcentral.